AUAUAUAUAUAUAUAUAUAUAUUUAUGUAUGGUGCAAUGCAGUCAUUCAAUACAAAAUUCACUAUGGGACAUGUUAGGGGUGAUAUUAAAUAUUAUGUAUCAUAAAAUUGAGAUAUCACUUAAACACAUAAAAAAAAAAAGGCAUAUCAAAAACUAAUCCUUUGAUUUCACACUUAGCUAUGUUAGCAGUUGUGUUGGUGCAGGUGUGGGAACAACUUAGGCCAAAGAUUAAAAAAAAAACAAGAAACACCCAACCCAUUUCCAUGAGCCCAUUUAAAGUGGUGUGUGACCGGUGAUAUCCUGUUUGCCACUUAUGUACAUAUCCUUUAUGUUUACAUGUCUGACAGUUCUUUCAGACAUUUUUUGCUAGUACAAUUUCAAGAAAAAUUAUCAGGUGUAUUGUAUUUAUUUAUAUUUAUGUGUGUAUAGAUGUGCCAUUUGUCUUUGCCUGUGUGCCUUCUAAAUUGAUGAGUCUUCCUAUUGUAUUUGUUGCUGCUGAAUACAUAUAAAAUAUCAACUUCUGACUAAUUAGCUUGUUAGCGUAAUGAUAAAAGAUAGUAUCGGCUAGUGCUAUUUGUGAUUGAUAAUGACAUUUUGGAAAGUAACCUUGGCUGCAUUAUUAGAUUAUACUAUUUAGGAGCUGCUAUUAUUGGUUAUAAACUUAACAUUUCUAAACCUACUUCUAGUUGAUACAGUUCUUCCAAGUCACACUUGAUGUAAUUCUGAAAGUUAUUUCAAUGAUACUGGUCUAAUAAUAAAUUCAAUAUGAUAUAU
Molecule: non-coding RNA, 774 nt
Organism: Biomphalaria pfeifferi
Lineage: Eukaryota; Metazoa; Mollusca; Gastropoda; Planorbidae
Source: the annotation of a GenBank genome assembly